Molecule: ribosomal RNA, 424 nt
Filed under: Verrucomicrobiota bacterium
Lineage: Bacteria; Pseudomonadati; Verrucomicrobiota
Description: Verrucomicrobia bacterium partial 16S ribosomal RNA
Rfam family: Bacterial small subunit ribosomal RNA
Source: RNAcentral
UGAGGAAUAUUGGUCAAUGGACGAGAGUCUGAACCAGCCAAGUAGCGUGCAGGAUGACGGCCCUAUGGGUUGUAAACUGCUUUUGUUUGGGAAUAAUCGACAUUACGUGUAAUGUUUUGCAUGUACCAUUCGAAUAAGGACCGGCUAAUUCCGUGCCAGCAGCCGCGGUAAUACGGAAGGUCCAGGCGUUAUCCGGAUUUAUUGGGUUUAAAGGGAGUGUAGGCGGUUGGUUAAGCGUGUUGUGAAAUGUAGAUGCUCAACAUCUGAAUUGCAGCGCGAACUGGCUGACUUGAGUACACACAACGUAGGCGGAAUUCAUGGUGUAGCGGUGAAAUGCUUAGAUAUCAUGAAGAACUCCGUUUGCGAAGGCAGCUUACGGGAGUGUUACUGACGCUUAAGCUCGAAGGUGCGGGUAUCGAACAGG